UUUGAUUUUGAGAUGCGCAACUUUCACCACCUAUGGCCUUUCUCUUCACAAUAUUGCCCACUGCAGUCUGUAAAUUUGCUGCUUGAAUAUAUGGAAAACAUUGUUUUGUUCUGCUGGUAUGUGCAGAGAGAUCUGAGCAGUUGGACUGGGAUACACGGCUAAAUAUCAUCAUGGGAGCUGCAAAAGGGCUGGCAUACUUGCACCAUGAUUGUUCCCCACGAAUUAUAUAUCGUGACAUAAAGUCAAGUAACAUUUUGCUUGAUGGGAAUUUUGAGGCUUGAGUAUCUGACUUUGGAUUAGCCAAAUUAUUAGAAGAUGAGGAAUCUCACAUUAGGACUAUUGUAGCUGGAACAUUUGGGUAUCUGGCUCCAGAAUGAAUGCAAAGCGGUAGAGCAACAGAAAAGACUGAUGUUUAUAGUUUUGAGGUUCUGGUUCUUGAAGUAGUGAGUGGAAAGCGACCCACUGAUGCAGCAUUUAUUGAGAAGGGCUUCAACAUUGUUGGCUGGGUACUUCUCUUCCCUACAUGUGUUUACACUGCUUUCAUUUAAAUAUGUAUGACAUGAUUGUGGAGCUCACAAGGCGAAUUAAGCUUCUUAUUUUCCUUGAUUAAUGAUUUCAUAUGAAUCUUCAGAAGAUCAGAGGUUCCAGCCUCCAGAUCACCAAUCUCUUGUUUUGAAGGAAAAAAAAAACAGUAUUCCAGAGAUGAUGUUAAUUUAA
Molecule: non-coding RNA, 717 nt
Organism: Camellia sinensis
Lineage: Eukaryota; Viridiplantae; Streptophyta; Magnoliopsida; Ericales; Theaceae
Source: RefSeq, a predicted model, not a curated record